GCGAACCGGGUGAGUAACACGUAGGCAACCUGCCCAAAAGAGGGGGAUAACACUUGGAAACAGGUGCUUAAUACUCGCAAUAACCAUGAACAACCGCAUGAUUGUUCAUUGUAAAAGACGGCUUUUGCUGUCACUUUUGGAUGGGCCUGCGGCGUAUUAACUUUGUUGGUGGGGUAACGGCCUACCAAGGUGAUGAUACGUAGCCGAACUGAGAGGUUGAUCGGCCACAUUGGGGACUGAGACACGGCCCAAACUCCUACGGGAGGGCAGCAGUAGGGAAUCUUCCACAAUGGACGAAAGUCUGAUGGAGCAACGCCGCGUGAAUGAAGAAGGCCUUCGGGUCGUAAAAUUCUGUUGUCAGAGAAGAACGUGCGUGAGAGUAACUGUUCACGUAUUGACGGUACCUGACCAGAAAGCCACGGCUAACUACGUGCCAGCAGCCGCGGUAAUACGUAGGUGGCGAGCGUUGUCCGGAUUUAUUGGGCGUAAAGGGAACGCAGGCGGUCCUUUAAGUCUGAUGUGAAAGCCUUCGGCUUAACCGAAGUAGUGCAUUGGAAACUGGAAGACUUGAGUGCAGAAGAGGAGAGUGGAACUCCA
Molecule: ribosomal RNA, 597 nt
Filed under: uncultured bacterium
Lineage: Bacteria
Description: bacterial SSU rRNA
Rfam family: Bacterial small subunit ribosomal RNA
Source: RNAcentral